This 211-nucleotide ribosomal RNA is filed under the name Blautia sp. OF09-25XD. RNAcentral's name for it is "partial 16S ribosomal RNA". It matches the Rfam family "Bacterial small subunit ribosomal RNA", at positions 1332 to 1533 of the family's 1533-position model. Lineage: Bacteria; Bacillati; Bacillota; Clostridia; Lachnospirales; Lachnospiraceae. RNAcentral also lists the same sequence under 1 other name. The record is from RNAcentral.
UCGCUAGUAAUCGCGAAUCAGAAUGUCGCGGUGAAUACGUUCCCGGGUCUUGUACACACCGCCCGUCACACCAUGGGAGUUGGUAACGCCCGAAGUCAGUGACCCAACCUUUCAGGAGGGAGCUGCCGAAGGCGGGACUGAUAACUGGGGUGAAGUCGUAACAAGGUAGCCGUAUCGGAAGGUGCGGCUGGAUCACCUCCUUUCUAAGGAA